This 489-nucleotide ribosomal RNA is filed under the name uncultured bacterium. RNAcentral describes it as "bacterial SSU rRNA". It matches the Rfam family "Bacterial small subunit ribosomal RNA", at positions 45 to 524 of the family's 1533-position model. The record is from RNAcentral.
UGCUUUCACAUGCAAGUCGGACGGCAGCACAGAGAAGCUUGCUUCUUGGGUGGCGAGUGGCGAACGGGUGAGUAACAUAUCGGAACGUACCGAGUAGUGGGGGAUAACUAAUCGAAAGAUUAGCUAAUACCGCAUACGUCCUGAGAGAGAAAGCAGGGGAUCUUCGGACCUUGCGCUAUUCGAGCGGCCGAUAUCUGAUUAGCUAGUUGGUGGGGUAAAGGCCUACCAAGGCGACGAUCAGUAGCGGGUCUGAGAGGAUGAUCCGCCACACUGGGACUGAGACACGGCCCAGACUCCUACGGGAGGCAGCAGUGGGGAAUUUUGGACAAUGGGCGCAAGCCUGAUCCAGCCAUGCCGCGUGUCUGAAGAAGGCCUUCGGGUUGUAAAGGACUUUUGUCAGGGAAGAAAAGGUUGGUGCUAAUAUCGCUGACUGAUGACGGUACCUGAAGAAUAAGCACCGGCUAACUACGUGCCAGCAGCCGCGGUAAU